Molecule: RNase P RNA, 380 nt
Filed under: Actinomycetota bacterium
Lineage: Bacteria; Bacillati; Actinomycetota
Description: RNase P RNA component class A
Rfam family: Bacterial RNase P class A
About the family: Ribonuclease P (RNase P) is a ubiquitous endoribonuclease, found in archaea, bacteria and eukarya as well as chloroplasts and mitochondria. Its best characterised activity is the generation of mature 5'-ends of tRNAs by cleaving the 5'-leader elements of precursor-tRNAs. Cellular RNase Ps are ribonucleoproteins.
Source: RNAcentral
UGAGCCGGUCGGGUGACCGCGGGCCGAAACCGCGGGUUCUCCCGCGGUGCGGUUCGAGGAAGGUCGGGACUCCACAGGGCAGGGUGCUGGCUAACGGCCAGUCGGGGCGACCCGCAGGACAGUGCCACAGAGAGCAGACCGCCGAUGGCCCUCCUCAUUGGCGGGCACAGGCAAGGAUGAAACGGUGCGGUAAGAGCGCACCAGCGACCGGGGUGACCCGGUCGGCUCGGUAAACCCCACCCGGAGCAAGGUCGAAUCGGGGGCACGGGCUGCCCGUCCGGUCCUCCUCCGAGGACCACCCCCAGGUGGACCGCUCAGAUGGAUGGUCACCGCGCCUCGUUCGAGGCGUACAGAAUCCCGCCUACAGACCGGCUCACCGU